GUCUACAAUUAUACCACCCUGAAUGUGCCCUAAUCUCAGAAGCUAAAUAGGGAUGGACCUGGUUAGUACUAAUAUGGGAAAAAUGGAUUAAAAAAUGGAGGGCAAGAUAUGACA
Molecule: ribosomal RNA, 114 nt
Filed under: Echinops telfairi (small Madagascar hedgehog)
Lineage: Eukaryota; Metazoa; Chordata; Mammalia; Afrosoricida; Tenrecidae
Source: RNAcentral